Molecule: ribosomal RNA, 253 nt
Filed under: uncultured bacterium
Lineage: Bacteria
Description: partial 16S ribosomal RNA
Rfam family: Bacterial small subunit ribosomal RNA
Source: RNAcentral
UACAGAGGUCUCAAGCGUUGUUCGGAUUCAUUGGGCGUAAAGGGUGCGUAGGCGGCGCGGUAAGUCGGAUGUGAAAUCUCGGAGCUCAACUCCGAAACUGCAUUGGAAACUACCUGGCUAGAGGUUUGGAGGGGGGACUGGAAUGCUUGGUGUAGCAGUGAAAUGCGUAGAUAUCAAGCGGAACACCAGUGGCGAAGGCGAGUCCCUGGACAACACCUGACACUGAGGCACGAAAGCUAGGGGAGCAAACAGG